UGAUGAAAAACGAGCAGUAAAACCUCUACAGGCUUGUAGCUCAGGUGGUUAGAGCGCACCCCUGAUAAGGGUGAGGUCGGUGGUUCAAGUCCACUCAGGCCUACCAGAUUUUCCCUGAAUACUGCGUUGUGAAAUAACUCACAUACUGAUGUAUGCUUCGUUAUUCCACGCCUUGUCUCAGGAAAAAUUAUCGGUAAAGAGGUUCUGACUACACGAUGGGGCUAUAGCUCAGCUGGGAGAGCGCCUGCUUUGCACGCAGGAGGUCUGCGGUUCGAUCCCGCAUAGCUCCACCAUCUCGUGAGUGUUUACGAAAAAAUACUUCAGAGUGUACCUGAAAGGGUUCACUGCGAAGUUUUGCUCUUUAAAAAUCUGGAUCAAGCUGAAAAUUGAAACACAGAACAACGAAAGUUGUUCGUGAGUCUCUCAAAUUUGAGGGAAAGGCGAAAAGAACCCCGGCGAGGGGAGUGAAAAAGAACCUGAAACCGUGUACGUACAAGCAGUGGGAGCCCCACCACUAAGCCAGUGGUGAACUCCACAUACGCAUCCUUUGCUGAGGAUACGGUUAACGGAGCGAAAGCGACGUUCAACCUCAAAAGAAGCAGAGGGGGCUUAGUGGUGGGGUGACUGCGUACCUUUUGUAUAAUGGGUCAGCGACUUAUAUUCUGUAGCAAGGUUAACCGAAUAGGGGAGCCGGAGGNGUGACUGCGUACCUUUUGUAUAAUGGGUCAGCGACUUAUAUUCUGUAGCAAGGUUAACCGUAUAGGGGAGCCGGAGGGAAACCGAGUCUUAAUUGGGCGUUAAGUUGCAGGGUAUAGACCCGAAACCCGGUGAUCUAGCCAUGGGCAGGUUGAAGGUUGGGUAACACUAACUGGAGGACCGAACCGACUAAUGUUGAAAAAUUAGCGGAUGACCUGUGGCUGGGGGUGAAAGGCCAAUCAAACCGGGAGAUAGCUGGUUCUCCCCGAAAGCUAUUUAGGUAGCGCCUCGUGAAUUCAUCUCCGGGGGUAGAGCACUGUUUCGGCUAGGGGGCCAUCCCGGCUUACCAACCCGAUGCAAACUGCGAAUACCGGAGAAUGUUAUCACGGGAGACACACGGCGGGUGCUAACGUCCGUCGUGAAGAGGGAAACAACCCAGACCGCCAGCUAAGGUCCCAAAGUCAUGGUUAAGUGGGAAACGAUGUGGGAAGGCCCAGACAGCCAGGAUGUUGGCUUAGAAGCAGCCAUCAUUUAAAGAAAGCGUAAUAGCUCACUGGUCGAGUCGGCCUGCGCGGAAGAUGUAACGGGGCUAAACCAUGCACCGAAGCUGCGGCAGCGAACGUAUCACUUAAAGCGAUUCAGCGGGUUACGAUUGACGGAGCGAAGCGACGUCAAAGCGUAUACAAAGUCGAGUCGGUUUAAGGAUACGUUCGUUGGGUAGGGGAGCGUUCUGUAAGCCUGUGAAGGUGGCCUGUGAGGGUUGCUGGAGGUAUCAGAAGUGCGAAUGCUGACAUAAGUAACGAUAAAGCGGGUGAAAAGCCCGCUCGCCGGAAGACCAAGGGUUCCUGUCCAACGUUAAUCGGGGCAGGGUGAGUCGACCCCUAAGGCGAGGCCGAAAGGCGUAGUCGAUGGGAAACGGGUUAAUAUUCCCGUACUUGGUGUUACUGCGAAGGGGGGACGGAGAAGGCUAUGUUGGCCGGGCGACGGUUGUCCCGGUUUAAGCGUGUAGGUGUGUGUUCCAGGUAAAUCCGGUUCACUUUAACACUGAGGCGUGACGACGAGGCACUACGGUGCUGAAGCAACAAAUGCCCUGCUUCCAGGAAAAGCCUCUAAGCAUCAGGUAACAUCAAAUCGUACCCCAAACCGACACAGGUGGUCAGGUAGAGAAUACCAAGGCGCUUGAGAGAACUCGGGUGAAGGAACUAGGCAAAAUGGUGCCGUAACUUCGGGAGAAGGCACGCUGACACGUAGGUGAAGUGAUUUACUCACGGAGCUGAAGUCAGUCGAAGAUACCAGCUGGCUGCAACUGUUUAUUAAAAACACAGCACUGUGCAAACACGAAAGUGGACGUAUACGGUGUGACGCCUGCCCGGUGCCGGAAGGUUAAUUGAUGGGGUCAGCGCAAGCGAAGCUCCUGAUCGAAGCCCCGGUAAACGGCGGCCGUAACUAUAACGGUCCUAAGGUAGCGAAAUUCCUUGUCGGGUAAGUUCCGACCUGCACGAAUGGCGUAAUGAUGGCCAGGCUGUCUCCACCCGAGACUCAGUGAAAUUGAACUCGCUGUGAAGAUGCAGUGUACCCGCGGCAAGACGGAAAGACCCCGUGAACCUUUACUAUAGCUUGACACUGAACAUUGAGCCUUGAUGUGUAGGAUAGGUGGGAGGCUUUGAAGUGUGGACGCCAGUCUGCAUGGAGCCGACCUUGAAAUACCACCCUUUAAUGUUUGAUGUUCUAACGUGGACCCGUAAUCCGGGUUGCGGACAGUGUCUGGUGGGUAGUUUGACUGGGGCGGUCUCCUCCUAAAGAGUAACGGAGGAGCACGAAGGUUGGCUAAUCCUGGUCGGACAUCAGGAGGUUAGUGCAAUGGCAUAAGCCAGCUUGACUGCGAGCGUGACGGCGCGAGCAGGUGCGAAAGCAGGUCAUAGUGAUCCGGUGGUUCUGAAUGGAAGGGCCAUCGCUCAACGGAUAAAAGGUACUCCGGGGAUAACAGGCUGAUACCGCCCAAGAGUUCAUAUCGACGGCGGUGUUUGGCACCUCGAUGUCGGCUCAUCACAUCCUGGGGCUGAAGUAGGUCCCAAGGGUAUGGCUGUUCGCCAUUUAAAGUGGUACGCGAGCUGGGUUUAGAACGUCGUGAGACAGUUCGGUCCCUAUCUGCCGUGGGCGCUGGAGAACUGAGGGGGGCUGCUCCUAGUACGAGAGGACCGGAGUGGACGCAUCACUGGUGUUCGGGUUGUCAUGCCAAUGGCACUGCCCGGUAGCUAAAUGCGGAAGAGAUAAGUGCUGAAAGCAUCUAAGCACGAAACUUGCCCCGAGAUGAGUUCUCCCUGAGACUUAGAGUCUCCUGAAGGAACGUUGAAGACGACGACGUUGAUAGGCCGGGUGUGUAAGCGCAGCGAUGCGUUGAGCUAACCGGUACUAAUGAACCGUGAGGCUUAACC
RNAcentral lists this ribosomal RNA (3131 nucleotides) under Salmonella enterica subsp. enterica serovar Derby. RNAcentral describes it as "bacterial LSU rRNA". The stretch from base 324 to 3129 matches the Rfam family "Bacterial large subunit ribosomal RNA". The record is from RNAcentral. Lineage: Bacteria; Pseudomonadati; Pseudomonadota; Gammaproteobacteria; Enterobacterales; Enterobacteriaceae.